UACGUAGGGGGCAAGCGUUGUCCGGAAUCAUUGGGCGUAAAGAGCGUGUAGGCGGCCAGAAAAGUCCGCUGUGAAAACUCGAGGCUCAACUUCGAGCUGUCGGUGGAAACUUUCUGGCUAGAGUCCGGAAGAGGAGAAUGGAAUUCCUGGUGUAGCGGUGAAAUGCGCAGAUAUCAGGAAGAACACCCGUGGCGAAGGCGGUUCUCUGGGACGGUACUGACGCUGAGACGCGACAGCGUGGGGAGCGAACAGG
This 253-nucleotide ribosomal RNA is filed under the name uncultured bacterium. RNAcentral describes it as "partial 16S ribosomal RNA". It matches the Rfam family "Bacterial small subunit ribosomal RNA", at positions 524 to 776 of the family's 1533-position model. The record is from RNAcentral.